Molecule: ribosomal RNA, 980 nt
Filed under: Acinetobacter sp. M.negtv.27.1
Lineage: Bacteria; Pseudomonadati; Pseudomonadota; Gammaproteobacteria; Moraxellales; Moraxellaceae
Description: bacterial SSU rRNA
Rfam family: Bacterial small subunit ribosomal RNA
Source: RNAcentral
CUUACACAUGCGAGACGAGCGGGGUGAUGGUGCUUGCACUAUCACUUAGCGGCGGACGGGUGAGUAAUGCUUAGGAAUCUGCCUAUUAGUGGGGGACAACAUCUCGAAAGGGAUGCUAAUACCGCAUACGUCCUACGGGAGAAAGCAGGGGAUCACUUGUGACCUUGCGCUAAUAGAUGAGCCUAAGUCGGAUUAGCUAGUUGGUGGGGUAAAGGCCUACCAAGGCGACGAUCUGUAGCGGGUCUGAGAGGAUGAUCCGCCACACUGGGACUGAGACACGGCCCAGACUCCUACGGGAGGCAGCAGUGGGGAAUAUUGGACAAUGGGGGGAACCCUGAUCCAGCCAUGCCGCGUGUGUGAAGAAGGCCUUAUGGUUGUAAAGCACUUUAAGCGAGGAGGAGGCUCUUUUGGUUAAUACCCAAGAUGAGUGGACGUUACUCGCAGAAUAAGCACCGGCUAACUCUGUGCCAGCAGCCGCGGUAAUACAGAGGGUGCAAGCGUUAAUCGGAUUUACUGGGCGUAAAGCGCGCGUAGGCGGCCAAUUAAGUCAAAUGUGAAAUCCCCGAGCUUAACUUGGGAAUUGCAUUCGAUACUGGUUGGCUAGAGUGUGGGAGAGGAUGGUAGAAUUCCAGGUGUAGCGGUGAAAUGCGUAGAGAUCUGGAGGAAUACCGAUGGCGAAGGCAGCCAUCUGGCCUAACACUGACGCUGAGGUGCGAAAGCAUGGGGAGCAAACAGGAUUAGAUACCCUGGUAGUCCAUGCCGUAAACGAUGUCUACUAGCCGUUGGGGCCUUUGAGGCUUUAGUGGCGCAGCUAACGCGAUAAGUAGACCGCCUGGGGAGUACGGUCGCAAGACUAAAACUCAAAUGAAUUGACGGGGGCCCGCACAAGCGGUGGAGCAUGUGGUUUAAUUCGAUGCAAUCGCGAAGAACCUUACCUGGGCCUUGACAUAGUAGAACUUUCCAGAGAUGGAUUGGUGCCC